CGAACGCGACUCUGGCUUCGGCCAGAGUUGAGUGGCGAACGGGUGAUUAACACGUGGGUGACCUACCUUCGAGUGGGGGAUAACGUCCCGAAAGGGACGCUAAUACCGCAUAACAUCCUGCCUUUGAACAGGUGGAGAUCAAAGCCGGGGAUCGUAAGACCUGGCGCUUGAUGAGGGGCCCGCGUCCGAUUAGCUAGUUGGUGAGGUAAUGGCUCACCAAGGCAACGAUCGGUAGCCGGCUUGAGAGGGCGGACGGCCACACUGGGACUGAGACACGGCCCAGACUCCUACGGGAGGCAGCAGUGGGGAAUUGUUCGCAAUGGGCGCAAGCCUGACGACGCAACGCCGCGUGGAGGAUGAAGGUCUUCGGAUUGUAAACUCCUGUUGCCCGGGACGAAAUGCUCCAACCUAAUACGUUGGAGUUUGACGGUACCGGGUGAGGAAGCCCCGGCUAACUCUGUGCCAGCAGCCGCGGUAAUACAGAGGGGGCAAGCGUUGUUCGGAAUUACUGGGCGUAAAGGGCGCGUAGGCGGCCUGCUAAGUCGAACGUGAAAUCCCUGGGCUCAACCCAGGAACUGCGUCCGAUACUGGUUGGCUUGAAUCCGGGAGAGGGAUGCGGAAUUCCAGGUGUAGCGGUGAAAUGCGCAGAUAUCUGGAGGAACACCGGUGGCGAAGGCGGCAUCCUGGACCGGCAUUGACGCUGAGGCGCGAAAGCCAGGGGAGCAAACGGGAUUAGAUACCCCGGUAGUCCUGGCCCUAAACGAUGAAUGCUUGGUGUGGUGGGUAUCGAUCCCUACCGUGCCGAAGCUAACGCAUUAAGCAUUCC
RNAcentral lists this ribosomal RNA (826 nucleotides) under uncultured Bacillota bacterium. RNAcentral describes it as "bacterial SSU rRNA". It matches the Rfam family "Bacterial small subunit ribosomal RNA", at positions 63 to 870 of the family's 1533-position model. Lineage: Bacteria; Bacillati; Bacillota. The record is from RNAcentral.